GUGCCGCAAGGUGAAAUCUAAUUGGCCUGGAGAAGAGCUUGCGUCUGAUUAGCUAGUUGGUGGGGUAAGAGCCUACCAAGGCGACGAUCAGUAGCUGGUCUGAGAGGAUGAGCAGCCACACUGGGACUGAGACAUGGCCCAGACUCCUACGGGAGGCAGCAGUGGGGAAUUUUCCGCAAUGGGCGAAAGCUUGACGGAGCAACGCCGCGUGAGGGAGGAAGGUCUUUGGAUUGUAAACCUCUUUUCUCAAGGAAGAAGUUCUGACGGUACUUGAGGAAUCAGCCUCGGCUAACUCCGUGCCAGCAGCCGCGGUAAUACGGGGGAGGCAAGCGUUAUCCGGAAUUAUUGGGCGUAAAGCGUCCGCAGGUGGUCAGCCAAGUCUGCCGUCAAAUCAGGUUGCUUAACGACCUAAAGGCGGUGGAAACUGGCAGACUAAAGAGCAGUAGGGGUAGCAGGAAUUCCCAGUGUAGCGGUGAAAUGCGUAGAGAUUGGGAAGAACA
Molecule: ribosomal RNA, 500 nt
Filed under: uncultured bacterium
Lineage: Bacteria
Description: bacterial SSU rRNA
Rfam family: Bacterial small subunit ribosomal RNA
Source: RNAcentral